CGCCCACUCCCAUACUGACUUAGAUUUCCCUGCCACAAACCCACCACGAGCCCCUCGCUGGCCCUUGGAAGGGGCCCACCCAAGCGAGGAGCCCAUCGGAUUCAGGGGAAACCCUGCCCCCACUAUAGGUCAAGGUCAUAGCCCUGGGGGUUUUGCAAUUUGAAUCCCAGGUUUGCUGAGCUGGCUUAGAAAUCCAGUGAAGAGAAAAAACAAAUAUGUAAGUGAAAAUCCGCUUUAUUCCCCAAACCUCCAAGGGCCUGGCCCUCCACCGAGCUUUGCCUCUGGUGGUCAGCUCCCCUCACCCAAGCCUGAGCUCCUACUCAGCUCAGGGUCCUGUCCGUGCUGGCGUCGUGGGAGCAGCUGGACGAGACUUGGCUUGUCCUAAGAUGAAACCCUUCCCCCGCCUGUGGGUUUUUCCUCCGAAAUCCUUCCUUGUUCCACCUGACUUUAUCUGCUGCGCACACACCCUUCCCUACCAGCAGCGACUGCGAUAAAAGCCAGUCACAUCCUGUGGGGACUCAAGGCCUCUGGGUGGCCAGAAACAUAGCUCCUUCCACCUGGCGCCUGGGGCCCUGAAAGCCAGUCCCUACAAUGGUUCUCAAGGGGCUUCUCUGUCAUUCUGCCGAGAGGCAGAGGUCCAGGGUGGCCGUCCCUCAGCAUCCCCUCCUCCCUGAGAAUGGACACAGAGACCCACACUAGAGUCCCAGCUUAUUAAUAGGAGCUUGGUAGCUUCUGGAAUGGCAGACCGCUGGGCUGUCCAACCUGGGGUCUCUGCCAGCCGCUCUGAAUCGAGGCUCCUGUUCGCAGGCAGAUGGUGCUGACUGCCCUCCUGGAGCUCAGGCAGGUCCAAGGACGUGCGAGAGCAGAUCCGGACUUUCAAUGUGGUGGUGCUGGCCCUGGGGAACCGGGUCCCGUGCAGCCAGACUCCCAACCUGUUGUCAGAUAAAUCAUUGCCUCUGUCUGGGGUGGAGGGAAUGAGGGGCUGAGAAGCCAAGCCAAAGGGGGUCCCCCAAGACUUUGUGAGAAGGGAGGGCGGUGGGAAUCUUCUCGCCUUCGGCUGAGGCACCACCCGCACCUCCCCACCCCUGACCCACGGGGCUCUCUCUCAGUCACUCCCAUCCUGGCCUAUGACACUCCCGCUGACCCUUCAAGAGUCUGCCAGGGUACCGCCUCCUCUGGGAAGCCUUCCCCGCUUCCAGGCUGGUUCUCUGGUCUGGCCCCUCUCUGUUCUUACACACUCCUCUGGGCUUCCGGUGGCUCGUUCCGUGUAGUUCCCAUUUAUUUUAUUUCUUCUUUCACAGCCUUUUCCAGUUUAUGUUCUCUUGCUGUGUUUUAUGCAUCCACACCAAGCCGCCUCCAGUCCCAUCUGGAGGAGGUGGGAUGGGGUCGGGUGCUGCUGCCCUCUGACCACUGGGCUGCGGAUGAGACGUCUAGAGCCCUGUCCUUGGACAGACGGUAGAUCUCAGGAUUGGCUCUCUGGGCUCCGCGCGGCCCCACACGGCCCCGACCCCUCUGGGGCUUGUUGGGGACGUCUGAGGAGGCAGGGAGGACCAGCUGCCUAAACAAGGCAGAUGCUGUGAGCAGACGUGACCUGCAUGGAAUGUUCUCCAUCAGAGUUUCUUGCUUUGGAGUAACACCCGGCGGGGCACCCUCCAGUCCAGUGCCGUCCGUUUCACGCAGCCUCCCGUCCUCGGUGGCAAAUCUUCCCAGUCGUCUUUGCGAUCUUGGCUUCCCACCUUCCACAGGCAACCAUUUGACACACACACACACACACACACACCUGUGCUGAACAAGUACAAAUAUCCGGGCUUAGAGGACUUUGAGCCCAUUCCUUCAUUUGACAACCAUUUAUCGGGUGUGCUCCCAUGUGUUGAGGAUAUGGCAGGGGACCGAAAGGGAAAAUCCUGCUCUUGUGGGGCUUAUAUUUUAGUGGGGAGACAUGCUACAUACUAAGUGAAGGGGCAAACCGUAUAGCAGGGGGGACAAUAGUAAGUGAUAGAGAUCAACCACAGCAGCGAAGGGGGUCGGGGUGCUGGGCGCGGGGCUGAAAUUUUAGCAGGGGACACCAAGGAAGGCCUGGGGACGUGAGGGAGGUGAGGGGUGAGCCACGCAGGGGUCGGGAGGAGUGUCCCAGGAAGGGAGCGGAGCCGCUGCAGAGAGCAGGGGAGGGAGGGACCCGGAGUUGGAGGGGCAAGCAGGAGGCCAGCGUGGCGGGAGAGAGAGGAGACAGGUGGAUGGGGACAGGAAGAGGUGAGGCCUUGGGGGCCCUGGCAUGGACUUCAGCUGUGACUCCGAGGGUAAUGCCGGCCCCUGGAGGGUUUAGAGCAGAGUCAAGACGUGGUCUGCCUUGCGUUUUAAGGGGAUCCCCUGUUGGCUGUAAGGAGCCCAGGACUGAGCGGGGAGAGGCUGGAAGCCUGGGGACCCGUUAGGAGGACCCUACAAUCCUCUGGUGAGAGGUGACUGUGACGAGGACCGGGUGGCGGCAGCAAGGUGGUGGAAAUGACAGAUCUUCACAGCAGAGCCGACAGAAUUGGCCGACUGGUUGGAUGUGGGGUGCAAAGGAGGAGAGGG
Molecule: long non-coding RNA, 2571 nt
Filed under: Equus caballus (horse)
Lineage: Eukaryota; Metazoa; Chordata; Mammalia; Perissodactyla; Equidae
Description: lncRNA (ENSECAG00000037172.3)
Source: RNAcentral